GAAGUGGCGUAAUCACAUGCGGCGCGAGUGGAUAAGGGCAUUUUCCUUUUAUUCCUUUGACUUGAUCUUGGCCGUCCAUGUGUUAAGCGAGAUCGACUAAAUUAUAGUCCUAAUUCGCAAGUAGUACUACUAGUAUUGGGUUUACUUCUCCGAAUAGGAAUUGCCUGGAAAAACUCACAAUUAAUGUUGAUUUGGUUCAAUCUAUCAGACGGUUAUAAAUUAAAAGUUACUAAAUAUUUAAAAAAUAUUAAUUAUUUUUAUAAUGUAAAAAUGUAAUAUCUUUAUAAUUUUUUCUGCUGUACGGCCAAGGCGGAUGUACGGUACAGCAGAAAUUUAUUUUAUAAUUAAUUUUUUUACGGCAUCCACAACUUAAAAUCUACAACUUUUAAAUAUAAAAUAAAAUCUGUAUACUCAAUAUCUCAAUACUCAAUAGCAUACGCAUGGAACAGUGUGUAAAUAAAGUACUUAAAAAAAAAGUACCAUGAAGAUAGAUAGGUGAGUAACUUCGUAAAAAGUUCUCCUGUAACACACCCAUUUUUAAAAUUUCUAAGCAUAAUUUCAAUGUAUUGUUUUAAAAAAAAAUAUAUACAUGGUGAAGAUUUAUUUCUGUAUUAUAUUUAUCAAUUUUUCAAGCCAUAUUUUAAUAGGACGUUUAUUUAAUUAAUAUAUCCAUGCACUCUGGAUAUAUUAAUUUGGAACAAUAACUUGGAACUUUUAUUAACCCAAUCUAAAUUAUAAAAAUCUACCUCUGAGAAAUUAUAUUCUUAGAAGCUAAUUUAUAGGUACGUUGGCAAUUCCAGUGUGUCUACAGACUACCAUCAUGGAAAACUCAAGAAAUCAACAAUCACAAACACGGCAGACGCCCAAAAUGUUGACAUGGAAACGACCACAAACAUGGCAAACGCCAAUUGUUGACAUGGAAGCUACAAAAUAUACAUACAAAUAAAGCGGAAGUUUCAGACUUCCGUAGCAGAAAAUACAUAAAAGGAAAAAGAAAAAGAAAAAGAAAAAGAAAAAGCAGCAACAGUUUACACAGAUUUUACAAAAGACUAAUAUAGAGUAACAUGCAACGAAACAACGCUUGAACAUGAAAGACAGAAGCUGAGGCUGCGGCUGUGGCUGUUGCUGUGCGAAGCUCAAGGGAACGGUGCCCUCUUCUUCAUUUCGCUUGAUUGAAUAUCGACGGCAAAGCCCUUGGCAUGCUGCUUCCAGUAGUCAGCCUGUGGACUAAUCCAUUCAGGCUCGUCAAUCUCCACCCUCGAUUGCUUCAACGCAUCAGUUGAUAUGUUGUACUUGUCAUCCCUUUUCUGAACCAAGUCUGGGCGCACCAUGCCCAAGUUCACUGCCUGUGGAGACAUCAUCAGCGCCGGUGCACCCAGUGGCAGCCUAUC
RNAcentral lists this long non-coding RNA (1391 nucleotides) under Citrus sinensis (sweet orange). Its description in RNAcentral is "long non-coding RNA (CSIN_LNC000519)". Lineage: Eukaryota; Viridiplantae; Streptophyta; Magnoliopsida; Sapindales; Rutaceae. The record is from RNAcentral.